AUGCAGGUUGAAAGUGAUACAUUACACACAGUCUCCGAUCUCAUUGACAGUGACUCUUGGUUAUGGAAGGUGGAUAUUGUCAGGAGGAAUUUUAUCGCUCCCGAUGCUGAUGCUAUCUUGAACAUACCAUUGCGGCAAGGGGGAGGAGAGGACUUCUGGGCAUGGGCGUGGGAGAAGAUGGGUAUCUACACUGUAAAAUCUGCGUAUCGGGCUCUUAUGACUCGCAACGAGCACUUAGCUCUAGAGGAAGGGACGACGACGGGUACUUCAAAGACUGAAAAACAGUUAUGGACAAGGUUGUGGAAGCUAAAAGUGGUGCCUAAACUGCGUGUGUUC
RNAcentral lists this ribosomal RNA (336 nucleotides) under Triticum aestivum (bread wheat). RNAcentral's name for it is "partial small subunit ribosomal RNA". The record is from RNAcentral. Lineage: Eukaryota; Viridiplantae; Streptophyta; Magnoliopsida; Poales; Poaceae.